RNAcentral lists this ribosomal RNA (481 nucleotides) under uncultured bacterium. Its description in RNAcentral is "bacterial SSU rRNA". It matches the Rfam family "Bacterial small subunit ribosomal RNA", at positions 28 to 507 of the family's 1533-position model. The record is from RNAcentral.
GAUAAACGCUGGCGGCGUGCCUUACGCAUGCAAGUCGUACGAUCCCGACUGCCUUCGGGCUAUCGGGAUAGCGGCGAACGGGUGAGUAACGCGUGGGCAACCUGCCCUAAAGACUGGGAUAACUUCUCGAAAGGGAGCUAAUACCGGAUACCUUUGUAGAUAUGCAUAUAUUAACAAAGAAAGCCUUCGGGUGCUUUAGGAUGGGCCCGCGUUCCAUUAGCUAGUUGGUAAGGUAACGGCUUACCAAGGCUGUGAUGGAUAGCCGGCCUGAGAGGGCGACCGGCCACACUGGGACUGAGAUACGGCCCAGACUCCUACGGGAGGCAGCAGUGGGGAAUAUUGCGCAAUGGGCGAAAGCCUGACGCAGCAACGCCGUGUGGACGAAGAAGGCUUUCGAGUUGUAAAGUCCUGUCACAGGGGACGAAGCCCCAACUUGUUUGGGGUGACGGUACCCUGAGAGGAAGCCCCGGCUAACUACGUG